RNAcentral lists this ribosomal RNA (253 nucleotides) under uncultured bacterium. Its description in RNAcentral is "partial 16S ribosomal RNA". It matches the Rfam family "Bacterial small subunit ribosomal RNA", at positions 524 to 776 of the family's 1533-position model. The record is from RNAcentral.
UACGUAGGGUGCGAGCGUUAAUCGGAAUUACUGGGCGUAAAGCGUGCGCAGGCGGUUUUGCAAGCCGGAUGUGAAAUCCCCGGGCUCAACCUGGGAAUGGCAUUCGGGACUGCAAGGCUGGAGUGCGGCAGAGGAGACUGGAAUUCCUGGUGUAGCAGUGAAAUGCGUAGAUAUCAGGAGGAAUACCGAUGGCGAAGGCAGGUCUCUGGGCUGACACUGACGCUCAUGCACGAAAGCGUGGGGAGCAAACAGA